Molecule: long non-coding RNA, 1014 nt
Filed under: Homo sapiens (human)
Lineage: Eukaryota; Metazoa; Chordata; Mammalia; Primates; Hominidae
Description: non-protein coding lnc-PLEKHM1-11:1
Source: RNAcentral
UCAAACUCAUCAUUUAGAUUCACCCAGUGUCUCUGUGAAGCCUCCAGACGUGCAGCUCACCAUAGCAGCAGAGCCUAGUGCAGAGGUGGGAACUUCUCUAGUCCACCAGGAGGCUACAGCUCGGCUCUCAGGGUCAGGUAAUGAUGUAGAACCUCCCGCCAUCCAGCACGGGGGCCCACCUCUGCUUCCAGAGUCAUCAGAAGAAGCUGGACCUUUAGCAGUUCAACAGGAGACUUCAUUUCAAUCUCCGGAACCUAUUAAUAAUGAGAACCCCUCUCCAACCCAGCAGGAGGCUGCAGCUGAGCAUCCACAGACCGCUGAGGAGGGUGAGUCUUCCCUAACCCAUCAGGAGGCCCCAGCUCAGACUCCAGAGUUCCCUAAUGUAGUUGUAGCUCAACCUCCAGAGCAUUCACACCUGACUCAAGCCACAGUUCAACCUUUGGAUCUGGGGUUUACCAUCACUCCAGAAUCCAUGACAGAGGUUGAACUUUCUCCAACCAUGAAGGAGACCCCAACUCAGCCUCCUAAGAAAGUUGUACCCCAACUUCGAGUAUAUCAAGGGGUAACAAAUCCAACACCAGGUCAGGAUCAAGCUCAGCAUCCAGUGUCACCCAGCGUUACAGUUCAACUUUUGGACCUGGGACUUACCAUCACUCCAGAACCCACUACGGAGGUUGGACAUUCUACAGCCCCGAAGAGGACUAUAGUUUCUCCAAAGCAUCCUGAGGUGACACUUCCACAUCCAGACCAGGUUCAGACUCAGCAUUCACACCUGACUCGAGCCACAGUUCAACCUUUGGACCUGGGGUUUACCAUCACUCCAAAAUCCAUGACAGAGGUUGAACCUUCUACAGCCCUGAUGACUACAGCUCCUCCUCCAGGACACCCUGAGGUGACACUUCCACCUUCAGACAAGGGUCAGGCUCAGCAUUCACACCUGACUCAAGCCACCGUUCAACCUCUGGACCUGGAGCUUACCAUAACUACAAAACCUACUACAGAGGUUAAACCAUC